GUCUAUGGCCAUACCACCCUGAGUCUCCCAUAUCUCAUCUGAUCUCAGAAGCUAAACAGGCUCAGGCCCAGUUAGUACUUAGAUGGGAAACAUUUCAUUCUAUUUCAGACUUUGGCCUCAGGGAUC
This 126-nucleotide ribosomal RNA is filed under the name Nannospalax galili (Upper Galilee mountains blind mole rat). Lineage: Eukaryota; Metazoa; Chordata; Mammalia; Rodentia; Spalacidae. The record is from RNAcentral.